GAUGAAAAAUUUUGUCCUGCAUUUUUUUUAGUUGUAAUCUCUGUCCUGCCUUUUUAUUUUUCACUCUAUUCGGUCCUGCCUUUUUUUUUAUUAGUUUGUCCUGACUUUUUUUCAUAAAUUGUCAUCCUGACUUUUUUUUUUUGCAAAGUGUCUCAUCCUGCCUUUUUUUUUUACUCAGAACUCCUGUCCUGUCUAUUUUUUCAAAUUUCAUCCUAGCCCCUCCCAUAAAAAUCAAAUGGUAGCUCCCU
RNAcentral lists this long non-coding RNA (248 nucleotides) under Mytilus galloprovincialis (Mediterranean mussel). The record is from RNAcentral. Lineage: Eukaryota; Metazoa; Mollusca; Bivalvia; Mytilida; Mytilidae.